This 251-nucleotide ribosomal RNA is filed under the name uncultured bacterium. RNAcentral's name for it is "partial 16S ribosomal RNA". It matches the Rfam family "Bacterial small subunit ribosomal RNA", at positions 525 to 775 of the family's 1533-position model. The record is from RNAcentral.
ACGUAUGGAGCAAGCGUUAUCCGGAUUUACUGGGUGUAAAGGGAGUGUAGGUGGCCAGGCAAGUCAGAAGUGAAAGCUCGGGGCUCAACCCCGGGACUGCUUUUGAAACUGCAGGGCUAGAGUGCAGGAGGGGCAAGUGGAAUUCCUAGUGUAGCGGUGAAAUGCGUAGAUAUUAGGAGGAACACCAGUGGCGAAGGCGGCUUGCUGGACUGUAACUGACACUGAGGCUCGAAAGCGUGGGGAGCAAACAG